AAUUCUCAACCUCUCUCACUUUUGUGGUGGAGGCUUGGACUUGGAGGUCGUGUCGGGUUGCGAAAGUCGACUCCUCUGAAAUGCAUUAGUGCGAGCCUUACGGAUCGCUUCGGUGUGAUAAUUGUCUACGCCGUGGUGUGAAGUAUCUCUGUGUUCGCGCUUCUAACCGUCCGCGAGGACAACUUUUAACAU
RNAcentral lists this unclassified non-coding RNA (192 nucleotides) under uncultured Phlebia. RNAcentral describes it as "sequence contains ITS2". Lineage: Eukaryota; Fungi; Basidiomycota; Agaricomycetes; Corticiales; Corticiaceae. The record is from RNAcentral.